Molecule: ribosomal RNA, 427 nt
Filed under: uncultured bacterium
Lineage: Bacteria
Description: partial 16S ribosomal RNA
Rfam family: Bacterial small subunit ribosomal RNA
Source: RNAcentral
UGGGGAAUAUUGCACAAUGGGCGCAAGCCUGAUGCAGCCAUGCCGCGUGUAUGAAGAAGGCAUUCGGGUUGUAAAGUACUUUCAGCGAGGAGGAAGGCGUUGUGGUUAAUAACCGCAACGAUUGACGUUACUCGCAGAAGAAGCACCGGCUAACUCCGUGCCAGCAGCCGCGGUAAUACGGAGGGUGCAAGAGUUAAUCGGAAUUACUGGGCGUAAAGCGCACGCAGGCGGUCUGUCAAGUCGGAUGUGAAAUCCCCGGGCUCAACCUGGGAACUGCAUCCGAAACUGGCAGGCUAGAGUCUUGUAGAGGGGGGUAGAAUUCCAGGUGUAGCGGUGAAAUGCGUAGAGAUCUGGAGGAAUACCGGUGGCGAAGGCGGCCCCCUGGACAAAGACUGACGCUCAGGUGCGAAAGCGUGGGGAGCAAACA